GUGUGUGUGUGUGUGUGUGUGUGUGUGUGUGUGUGUGUGUGUGUAUGAAUGAAGGGAGAGGAGGAGGAGGAGGAGGAACAGGAGGUGGUAAUAAUAAUAAUAAUAAUAAUAAUAAUAAUAAACGGUUUAUUAUUUAGGCAGUUGACAAACUGAAAAUGUACAUAGGGGAUGGGGAAAAACUUAACAUUAAUCCUAAAGGUAAGUCUAAUCUAGGAGGGAAAUAAUAUUGAUUGAUGGCUCGCACCAUGGUGGGAAUCGCACUGAGUCUGUACCGGUCCGUGCGCGGCGCCUUCAGGGGCGUUAUUCUGUUGUGGUGUCUGGUGGCACGGACCGGGCGAGGCGCAUCGGGCGGCAGCAUGUUUCUGAGACGCGGAUGAUGCAGUAGUCCCCUUCCAAACUUCUCCAGAGCCUCUCGGUGCCUGGUGGAUAUUCUGGACAGACUCAGGGUGUGUGUGUGUGUGUGUGUGUGUGUGUGUGUGUGUGUGUGUGUGUGUGUGUGUGUGUGUGUGUGUGUGUGUGUGUGUGUGUUU
Long non-coding RNA from Scylla paramamosain (green mud crab), 530 nucleotides. RefSeq lists it as uncharacterized. NCBI's taxonomy places the organism in Eukaryota, Metazoa, Arthropoda, Malacostraca, Decapoda, Portunidae. The record is from RefSeq and is a predicted model, not a curated record. The transcript is spliced from 2 exons.